This 73-nucleotide transfer RNA is filed under the name Saprospirales bacterium. RNAcentral describes it as "tRNA-Met". It matches the Rfam family "tRNA". Rfam says of the family: Transfer RNA (tRNA) molecules are approximately 80 nucleotides in length. Their secondary structure includes four short double-helical elements and three loops (D, anti-codon, and T loops). Lineage: Bacteria; Pseudomonadati; Bacteroidota; Saprospiria; Saprospirales. RNAcentral also lists the same sequence under 4 other names. The record is from RNAcentral.
CGCGGGAUGGAGCAGUUGGUAGCUCGUCGGGCUCAUAACCCGAAGGUCAUAGGUUCGAGUCCUGUUCCCGCUA